AAUUAAACAUAGGUUAACUCGGUCAGUGCAUCGUCGUGCAUCGUGGACGCAUAAUUGAGUAUUUUAUCGUGUAUGUUUGAAAUGCAAGAUAUUUCCUUUAUUGAAGUGUUAUUUAUUAAUUGCUUUUAUAUUUAGUGCUAAAUCAGUUGUAGAAAUUAGUUAAACAGUCAGCUGGAAAAGUAUUUAAUAUGAAACCGGCAAACAAGUCAUUUGCAGUAUAUAGGCCGCCUUCAAUGCAAAGUCUGUUCAUGUAUUGUGAUAAUUGAUUUAUCAUGUAAUAAUUGAAAUUUCUAACACACCAGUCAGAAACAUAACCUCAAUUCAGUGAUAUAUGAAUAAAGAGAAAGAAAAUUACAGUGCUGAUAACUCCUACGAAAAUGGAUUUCAAACUAGGGAUUUUCUCCAAUAGAGAAGAUAAAUACAAAGUUAGAUAAUAUAUUAGAAAUUAUUAAUCCUUUGUCACUAAAAUAAACAAGCAAGGCUUGAAAACAUUCAUGAAGAAAAAUAAGAACACAUAUCGAUUAAGUGUUGAAAAGAAAAUGAAUUGUGGAGUAUUUCUUAAGUGAUGAUAUUGUAUUACAGAAUAGGAAAUUCACAUAUUUAAUACGAAACCAGCAAAGUAUAUAGGUCAUGUGCAAUGCAAAUUCUGUUUAUGUAUUGUGAUAAUUGAUUUAUCACAUAAUUAUUGAAAUUUCUGACAGACCAGUCAAAAAUCACAUAACCUCAAUUCAGUGAUAUGAUAUGAAUAUUAUAGAGAAAGAGUGCUCAUAACCCCUAUGGGUUAUGUCAAAAUGGAAUUCAAACUAGGGAAAUUUGCUCUAAUCAAGAAGAUAAAUUGUCACCAAAGAAACAAGCAAGACUUAAAAACAUUCAAGAAGGAAAACAAAGAAUGGACCGGAUAUCACACAUUAUAUGGAUUAAGUGUUAAAGAGAACAUGAAUUGUUGAGUAUUUCGAGACUGAUGAUCUUGCAUUACAGAAUUGGUAUAUUAAGGUUCUACAUGAAGAGAAUUUAAGACUUAACUUUACCAAGUCUGAUUUAACUGAAGUU
Long non-coding RNA from Ctenocephalides felis (cat flea), 1050 nucleotides. RefSeq lists it as uncharacterized. The record is from RefSeq and is a predicted model, not a curated record. Lineage: Eukaryota; Metazoa; Arthropoda; Insecta; Siphonaptera; Pulicidae. The transcript is spliced from 6 exons.